GGAGAUAGUAGCCACCCAGUGCAGAAAUGAUUCGGCUGGUCAUGCAUAUUGUACACCAUCACUGUGUGUGAAAGCAGGACCAUUUGUUGGCCAGUUCAAGCUCCCCAAUGAUUUGGACAAGUCCUAGGUGUUCUGCUUUCUUUUCAGUAUCAGGCAAAGACCUUUUACAAAAGGUCCAGGCUUUUAUGCAGUCUUUAUGCUGGAGCCGUCUCUGUCCUUGAGUUUGUGUGUUUGUGUUCCAAAAACAUGUGCCUUGUGUUUGGAGGACUGUUUUUGCUGUGAGCUGCUCUGAAAAUCUUCAGACUACUAGAGUAGGGUAUUAAUAUUUGUAAUAAAUAAAUACACCAUCUGCGGUGCAGUAAGUGGCCCUUAAAACUGGAAUAGCAAGCACUAACAGCAAUAAUUCACAUUGAUACAGUACUUUACAUACAUUAACUCAAUAAUCCUUACAGCAAUUCUGUAACCUAUGUCUUUAUUAGUACUGCUACUUUUGCUGUCCCUAGUACCAAGAUUACUAUUCCCAGCAUUUUGGAGAUAGGGACGUCAUACCAAAAACAGCUUUGUUUUGUGUGUUUCUUCUGGAAUUUUUAAAUGUUGAAAGGUGGUGUGCAGAUUUUGGAAAUAAAUUAAGACUGCCUCAUGAUUUUAUGACAUUAUUUUGGAUGAAAUUUGAAUUGCGAUUUCUUGCUCAUAACACACACUUUAACAGGACAUUUUUGUUAUUUUCGACUCAGGACAAGUCACCUACUUCAGUGGAGUCUACUUAGAGAUGGACACAGAUUGCAGCUUUAUGCACGAAUCCUAUCUCUCAGGUCCAGGACCACGGGGCAUUGAGACUAAGAUUCGACGCAGCACAUGGAAACAGCCUUCACAGACUUAUUUUUAUUUCUGCUCUUCACACUUCUAAGACUUUUUUUGCAUUAGAUAUACAAUCCAUUCCUGACAAAAAUAAAAUGUCUCUUUAACUGAUAUGUUGUUUAAAA
RNAcentral lists this long non-coding RNA (983 nucleotides) under Pogona vitticeps (central bearded dragon). RNAcentral's name for it is "lncRNA (ENSPVIG00000000415.1)". The record is from RNAcentral. Lineage: Eukaryota; Metazoa; Chordata; Lepidosauria; Squamata; Agamidae.